This is a long non-coding RNA of Dreissena polymorpha, 2286 nucleotides long. RefSeq lists it as uncharacterized. The record is from RefSeq and is a predicted model, not a curated record. Lineage: Eukaryota; Metazoa; Mollusca; Bivalvia; Myida; Dreissenidae. The transcript has 3 exons.
GACAUUGUAACUGACAGAUUGGGUCGUUUAAAGAAAAAGCAAUUUGCUAUAUUGAAAGAGAACAAUUAAUAAAAGUGUUAUUAUUGUUCAUAUUUAUGUGACUGGAGUUAAUGAUAAACGUCAACUAAUGCAUGGCAGUGUUGAUAUUUAUGAAGAAAACGAUUCCUGGAAAUACAAAUGUCAAACGAUUGAAAAUUUUGACCACUGGCACUGUGAAGAAUAACGUUUAGAACCCGUGUCAUUUACAAAAUUUAAUAUUCUUCUUGAGCAGUUAAAGGGGAUAACGUGGAUUUAUGAUUGUGUGAUGACUGUAGCCAUGUGAACGGGUUAUCGUACGGCAAAACCCAUCACGUAAAGAAGAGUCUUCAACUUUUCAAGAAAGGAAUACCUUGUUUUGCUAUCAACACAAAGCUCGGAACAGGAAGGGGCAGAACCUACUACCAGGUAGUUUCAAUGAUGAACUAUCAUGAUAUAGGGCUAAAAGAUGGAUGUGCCAAAUCCACCUCAUGAAAAACAGAUUGGGCAAAAGUGGAGUGCGAACACUAAAUGAUGUGCUGCUAAAUAGCAGACCUUUACAAGUGAAUUCGGCAAAUCCUGAUUCAACCUGAGCUUACCAAGUUUACUGACAGUUUGGAUAAUAUGGACAAUAUAUUGUGUUCAUGUUGUGUGGUGAUUGACAUUUUUUAACAGAUAAGAUUUUUUAAUCCAGACUUAUUAGGUGAUUUUUCUUCAAAGAAUAAAUACAAUACUUUUUUAUUGAUGUGCAUGAAUUUGAGUACAAAAUAGCAACAAUGUGUAUCUUGUGUUGUUUUUCAAAUCAGUCUGUCAUCCAUAGGUAAUAUAUUAAGUAUGAGAAGGGAAUAUUUUAUUUUUAAAUUUUUGUUGUUUCUGCACACCAUGUCAGAUACAUGAACAUAUAUUUUAUGCCCCCAACGGGCGGCAUAUAGUUUUCGCACUGUCCGUCUGUCAGUCUGUCUGUCCUCCGUAACACUUUUCGUUUUCACUCUCUAAUUCAAGUAGUUCUAAUCCGAUCUCCAAACUUGGUCAGAAGUUGCAUCCGGAUAAUGUCUAGGUCAAGACGAACAUGGGUCAUGCCGGGCCAAAAACUAUAUCAUAGGGUCACUUAGUGCGUUUCAAACAUUCAGCAUGGUGUCCGCUCUCUAAUUCAAGUUCAAGAUACUGGUUGAAUAAGGACGUCAUUUAAUCCAAAACGGGCAUUCAGCAUUUAUGACACACAAAAAGUGACAGACCCAGAUGGGUUAUAAUCUCGUUCCCAGCCACAUAUCUUCAUCGCCUAUGUAGGAUGGCCAUGACUUAUUGAUCUACUAUCCAUUGUGACUUUUUGAAAAAUGCAGCUGCAGCCUUGAUUUUUAUAAACCUGUUUAUAAUAAUGCAUACACAUACUAAAUCAAUAAAAAAACUUCCGACGAAACGUCUUCUUAAAAAAAGAUAGUUUGACUAUGUAUAAAGAUAUUGACAUCUAUAUACAUAGUCGAACUAUCUUUUUUUUAAGAACUAAACUUCUUCCCAAACACACUAAAUCUAGCCCCAGGCCUUCAGCGCCUAUGGCGCUUUGAUUAUAUUCAAGAUGUCCUAUUCGUUCGAGCAAAACUGUUGUGAAAGACAAACACAUGGCUUUGUGACGGUCGUAUGUGUAAACAAUAUGAAGACUGAUCGAUGAUUGAAAGAUGAGUUUAGGACUGUGUUUGUUCUGAUGAUAUCGCAAAACUAUAAAGUAUGAUCAAUGUAAUUUCAAACAACCCGUAAUGGGCCAUAAUUUAGUAAUGGUAUACAUGGGCUGUCUUGGAUCAGCAUUAUUACAUCAACUGUGAUAUAAUUACGUAAAAACUAGAUCCAUUCUACUACUGCAUGAAAUUGUCCUUUGUUUUUAUUUUGAUUUAAUAUUAUGUUGUACAUAAGAUCACAUCAAAAGGGACCAAAAUAAAUGUUAACAUCUUCAACAAGUUCAUGGUAGAGGUAAAAUGAAUCCAUUACACUAGUCAUGGUUGGUAUCGCCUUGAGGGAGGUUAAUAAUGAUACCGAAUGGUUCGGGUAUUGGCAAGUCAAGUGUGUGCUAUCAUCACGGACAAGUUUUGCCCAUCAGCACAACCGUUACCUAGUCGAAACCUGAGCUUUAAGAUUUUCCUAGCGAACAUAAAUCGAAAUAUGUCGGGUCCUUGCCGUGGAUAUUGUCUUAUUUACUUCGUGGUGCAGAUAUGAAUAUUUCUAGGCGAAUUCUGAAUGUUAUUGGAUUUCUUUCAUAAAACGUUUAUUAGUUAAGUUUGA